This 8140-nucleotide long non-coding RNA is filed under the name Sus scrofa (pig). Its description in RNAcentral is "lncRNA (ENSSSCG00000059707.1)". Lineage: Eukaryota; Metazoa; Chordata; Mammalia; Artiodactyla; Suidae. The record is from RNAcentral.
GGUCAGGACAGAUGCCCUUGGCCACAAUUGGACCCCCACUAUACACAUGCUGCUCGAUACACUUCUAAGUUUGUCCUUAGUUUAUUAUGUGUUGACAUUUGUAAUACCUUAGCCUCAGGGAAAGAAUCUUCUUUCCUUCCAGUGCCAAUACAUUUGGGAUCCAGAAGAAUGUUCCCUCCCUUGCGCUCUGACUUUCCUGGGUGUGAGUGUUGGGACCCUCCUUCUUGUAUUUGCCCAUUGCUUGUGGCGGCAUCUAAGCGAAGCCCUUAGUUCAGUAACUAUAGAUCCCCCCCUCCCCCGAUACCCAGUCAGAUCUCAGGAGGGCUCCGUUUUGAUGAGGAUGAGGAGGAUGACAAGAGUGAGGAUGAUGAUGAGGAAGAGGAGGAGGAGGAAGAGGAGGAGGAUAAACUACUAUUCUUUGAGAAUUUAACAUGUGCCAAGCACAGUGCUCCAUGCUUUACAUACUUUAUAUCAUUUCUGGGAGGUGGACUCUAGCACAUCAUUUCAAAGUUGAUCUUGUGGAUAGUAGAUGGAUGUCCAAUGGGCGAAGGACUGGUUUGUGGUACAAAUAUUUGGAGGCUGCGGAGGCCUCCUGUGGAAGCAGGACAGGGGGAUGAUUUACACAGAAGAGAACUCUCUGAAGGAAUCCCUUAUUUUCUUAGUCCCUUUGCAUUUAUUUAACUAGUUUUUAUGAUCACUUCAGUAUUCAGCCUCCCUUGUUUGCAACACCGUGGAAAUAGGAGGCACAGUCCCUGCCUACAAGGCACCUGUGAUCUAGUAGGUGGAGAAGAGUGGAACGUGAAAAUACCGCCACGUGGUACAGAUUUGGGUUUGUCCUCUCGUCUCCUUUCGCUAGCCUUUAUGGGCCUAAUCUUCUUUUGAAAAACUAAAUGAUGGGACUAGAUAAGAAGUAGGUAAACUUUUUCUAUAAAGGGCCAGAUGUAAGUCUUUUAGUCUUUUGGGGCCCUACAGUCUUUGUCUGACUACUCCAUGCUGCUGUUGUAGCGUGAAAGCAGCCAUAGACCAUAUGUAACAAAUAGGCAUGGUAAAUCAAAAUUUAUAUAUAAAAACACUUGUAAAUAAAAAUCAGGUGGGCUGGAUUUAGCCCAUGGCUGACCUUGGACCAGCUGAUGGCUCUAGGACCUUUCUGACCAGAAAGUGUUAUAGUUUCUUCACCUUCCACAGUGAUUUCAGCCUUGGAGUAUGGAGGCAUUUUUUGGUUUUCCUCUGUUGAGGGAGAGUGUAUAAAAAAUGGCAAUAGAAUUUGUCCUGGAGAGGCACCAGGAGGGAUUCCCAGCAAUGUUCUGAUUGAAAUCGCAAUGGGAAGAAGCCAUUAAAAAAGGUGGGGAGAAAGGUCCCAUUCAUCAGAGAUGGGUACUGCUGUUUUCAUUGGGGAUCUGGCUAUUAGCUCAGCAGGAAGACAAGAUGGGGUAGGCUGGAAACAUGGCUUUUCCAGAGGCAGAAUGCUAGAGAAUUCUUUUUAGAACAAAAUUUUCAUUUAAUUCCUUAUAUAAGUCUUAGAAUCCAAGGCGUAGUCAAUAGGGAAAUGUUGCUAGUGUUGGGAAACACAUCUAGCAUAACAAUCUAACAAUCUCAAUGAUCUAACAGCAUCUAAACGUCAAUUUCACUUUUGUUGAAAAUACACAUAUAUUUCUAUUCGAAAACUGUCUCAUUUAGUUUUGCUAUCUAUUUGAAUAGGUUUUUCAAGACCUUUAAACAACUACACAGUCAUGGGACGCUUGCUGUUGCAUGUAACAAAAAUAUCUUGUUUGGGAGUUCCAGUUGUGGCUCCGCAGUAAUGAACCGACUGGCAUCCAUGAGGAUGAGGGUUCGAUCCCUGGCCUCCAUCAGUGGGUUAAGGAUGGGCAUUGCCAUGAACUGUGGUGUAGGUCGCAGAUGCGGCUGAGAUCCCAAUUGCUGAGGCUGUGGCGUAGGCCAGCAGCUGCAGCUCUGAUUCGACUCCUAGCCUGGGAACCUCCAUAUGCCAUAGGUUCAGCCCUAAAAAGACAAAAACAAAAACAAAACAAAACCCCCCAAACCCCCACCUUCUGCAAAUUGACUUAAAAACCAGAACAUAUGGGUUUAGGAUACAACAUAAUCCAGAGGAAUGCUGGCUUCUUCUGGGGAGAGGUCUGAUUCAAAAUAUCAAAUGACAUCAUUAGCUUCUUUUUUUUUUUUUUUUUCAUUUCUCCCAUCCUUGUCUAUCAGCCUUAUCUUUAGGCAAACUCCUUCCUAAGUAGUGGGGUGCUAUUCCAAGACUCUCUUGUUUAUACGACCAAACAGCAAAGGAACAAGAGCUUCUUUUUUUUUUGAAGGCUGUGGCACAGUCUCCUCAUGUCUCUUUGACCCUGAUUGGCCUAUGUGCCCAUUUCUAAACCAAUUUCUGUAGCCUCAGCCAUUUAGGGCUCACUACACAGUUAAGAAUGGUAAAGGGGAGGCUCCCCAGAGGAGAGCCGGAUUACAUGUAUUGCAAAGAGGUGGAUGGUUUCUGAAUAACCAACUGCAGAUAUCCAGUGCAAUGAUAAAUUUCAGAACACUUUCAUGGAAGCGGUCUCAUUUGAUUUUACAACAACAUUAUGAGAGUGUGUUAGCUAUUACUAUUUCCGUUUUCAGAGAACACAAGGGCUUAAGUCACAUGACUUAUUCAAAUUCACACAGUUGAUGAAAGGGCUUGCAUUAACUUUCUUCCCCCCCCCACCACUAGACAGCUAUUACUUUUGUCUUGGACUAGAUGCCUAAUAAUGUCAUCUAAAAUAGAAUUAGCAUUUUAGGGCACUGUAUCGCAGCAGCUUAUACUGAUUUUAUAGCGAAGUAAGAGCCUGAUUUUUCACAUGAUUGCUGGUAAAAUGUACCUAAAAUGGCUUUUUGAACCUAAGUGCAGGGCCGCCUUUAUUCCUGUGAUACCUCAUAUUAAAUUUCCCCCAUUGCUCCGGCCUGGCAAGAAUUUUUGAGUCAUGUGGAAUCCAAAUUAACUCUCCUUCCACCUAUUUUUUUUGAAAAUUUUUUUUAUUGUUAUUUCUCCAAUACAUUUUUUUUUCUACUGUACAGCAUGGAGACCCAGUUACACAUACAUGUAUACCCCUCCCAGCUUUGUGCCGACUUCAAGUUUAAUAAAUAUACUUUUUUUUUUUUUGUCUUUUGUAUUUUUAGGGCCACGCCUGUAGCACAUGGAGGCUCCCAGGCUAGGGGUCGAAUUGGACCUGUAGCUGCUGGUCUAUGCCACAUCCACAGUAACUCGGGAUCCAAGCUGCGUCUGAGACCUACACACAGCUCAUGGCAAUGCCAGAUCCUUAAUCCACUGAGAAAGGCCAGGGAUCGAACCUGUGUCCUCAAGGAUAUUAGUUGGGUUCAUUAACCACUGACCACAAUGAGAACUCCACAAAUAUACAAUUCUAAUUCACCUUUUAAGAAACUGCUAAAGGGUUGAACAAUAGCAUAUAUAUAUAUAUAAUAUUGAUUAAUUACUGAUUUUAAUCUAGAAUUAGAUCUCUAGUGAUACAGCACUGGACUCUACCUUUGGGUUUGUUCAGUAUUUUUAUUAUUUAUUAUUUUAUUUAUUUUUUUGCUUUCUAGGGCCUCACCCAGGGCAUAUGGACAUUUCCAGGCUAGGGGUCCAAUUGGAGCUGUAGCCGACAGCCUACACCACAGCUCAUGGCAACGCCGGAUCCCUGAUCCACUGAAUGAGGCCAGGGAUUGAACCAGCCUCCUCAUGGAUACUAGUCAGAUUUGUUUCCACUGAGCCACCACGGGAACACCUGUUUAGUAUUUUUAUAACUGAUACGGAUGGAGUCUUAGCUGAUAGGUUAAAAAUGUAAAUCCCCUCACAUAUGGCAUAUAUCUUCGCAUUGGUCCUCUCGUUCCUAUUUCUGAUUUGAGCAACAUUUUGAUUGAGGACAUCACCGCUUGAAAUGAAAAGCCGAAUUAUUGGCCUGGAGUCUGUGGUAACUGCGAUGUUGUGACUCUCCUAUUAUUUAUCCUGGAUAGAGUCAGGAAAAUUAUGGCCAUCCCCUUCAUGUAAAAUUUCUGCCAUGAAAAUAAGAUAAUUGCAAUGGUGAUCAAGCAUCAGAACCUGUGAAAAUCUGGGAAUAAAGGCAACAGAACAGAUUCUCCCAGCGACUUGUUUCUUUUUUUUUCAGAUGAGAAAAUUGAGAUUCUAUAAUUCACAUGUACUUAAAUGUAAGUGAUAACAAGGAUUUGGCCGGAAAUAUUAUCUAAGACUAAGCUUCCCAGGCAGGAGUGGUGGUGGGUGGGUUGCAGAGUCAUCUGGGGGUGGGGAUGGAUGGCAGUGAGGCUUCUACACAAACCCACCCCCAUCUUAGAGCUCCCCUUCUUCCUCCUAAGCAGCCCAGGGAAAUUCCUGGGCCAGGGAUGAAUCUGAGCCACAGCUGCAGCAACGCUGGAUUCUUAACCCACUGCCGGGCGGCAAUUCAAACAGGCGCCUCCACAGGGACAAGCUGGAUCACUAACAGCACUGGUCACUGCGGGAACUCCCCAUCUUAUAGCUUUGAUUUGAGGUUAGUUCAAAGCCCUUUCAAGGAGGGUGAGAGAUUUUUAUGAAUAUUAAAAUCAAGUGUUAUUAACCUUUAAAAAGAUUGCGAAACAAAGCUGCACAGGUUAAUUUCUCUAAAAAAGACUCCGUUUCGAAUUGGUUUCAGCCCUGGAGCGGGAGGGUUGUGUCUUUAGCCCCCCUCAGAAAGGUGUGCGAAGGGGACGAAGUCACUUUGCCCGCUGAGACCAAUGCCACCGGCAAAAGCUUUGCAGCCCACCCUGCUCCGCCCCAGGUGAGGGCCAUCUUCUCCCCACCAACCACCCGAACCCAGCUGUUCCUGCUCUGCCUUGCUUCUCCGUCUCCUCUCCCCCACCCUUCGAUCUUGUAGAAACGCCAUCCUCAUGCAGGUAUUUUUCCCAGCGAAAUUUUUCUUUCUAACGCAUGGAUACGUUUCACAGAAGAUGAACGAACGCGAGUCUCUCCCGUUUGCGUGAAGUGAUUAGCCGUGCGUGCUGGAAAAAACCGGUUCUAUUUAAAAGGAGAAAUAUUUAGAGAGCAGACGUCCUUCGCCGCUUCCUUCUCCAACUGUUCUCAGAAAGCAAGAAAACAGCAGCGGUGCUCGCCUCUGGUUCAGGGCUGUGACCCGCCCUCCUCCCCCACCACGCUCCUUCCUUAGCUACAAGAACAGGUUAUCAAGGCGAUAAUAAGCGAGAAAAUGUUCCAGCCUUGUCUUAAGCCUCAGCCACAUCGCACUGCUUAAAAGAGGUUAAAUGCUUCUGUGAACCCGUGUUUUCCACCCCCGGCCAGGCCGCCCUAAGCCAGGCUGAUCCGGCCUGCCUCGCCCCUGCUCCGCAAGAGACUCGCGGUGCGGGAUGAUUGAGGUGGCCUCAGCCUCCCGGCAGCCGCUGACUGGCACUUGGAAAUUCAAUCCUCUCAAGGUAAUUCCUCUACUUAUGAAAAAACUUCUAGCAGUGAACUCUGACUCUGAUGCCUCCCACGCCCAGCAGGAGAGAGGCCAGGCCCGGGGUUGGGGCCGGGGCCCGGUGUUAUCCAAGCCGUUUUCCAAGGAAGACUUUUGUGGCGUCAUUAGUAGAUUUUUAGCUAUUUCUAGAACAAUAGAAAUUGUAAUCUUUUUCUUCUGAGGUCUUCUGGAUCCCAAAUGACCUGGGGCCUGUCUGGCCACCUGUAGGCUACAGGUUGGCCUGGCUUCACCCUCACAGAGAGUAACACUGUGCUUUUGUUUCCUCUUGGCUGGAGCAUCCCUCACUGCUUAGAGAGGCACUUUGGUGCCAAGGUUGGAGGCCAAACUGAUGGUAAGAGGAGAUGUGGAGUUGCCAUUUCCCUAUGGUCCAAGCUGAUGGAGGUAGACAUCCUUGGCAAAGCCAGAUGUAGUACCAGGUUUGGAGACAUUCCUCUCAUUGCAGGGAAGCUGUCCAGAGAUUCUGAAAUAACCAGCUGCUGUUAAGAUUUUUUUGGGAUCAUUAUUUUCAAGAAGUAACAAUUUCCCCUUCUUUUCCAUCCUCACCCCAAAGUUGCUCCUGUCCCCAAUAGCAGGAAGUCCCCGGUGAUGGUUGCAGAUGCUACUGCUGAGACAGUCCUCUGCCUCCUCAAGGGGACAGCUUUGUUGUGGGAGGAUUUGAAUAUCCUUGCUUCUCUCCUAAAGCUUCAGGAUGUGUUUUGGCAAGUGCAAAAUCCAAUAGUCAUUGAACCCUUGAUAAUCUUUUAUGCCCUGUAGAAGUAUGUUUUUAUUCAUCCGUUUCUUCAGGAGGUAAGAAAUAAAGCUGUUCCAUCCUAGGCAUAAAUUAGCAUUUCUAACAAUGCAGUGCAAAAAAUGUAAUUUAAAUAGAACUGAUUAGAAUUUUGAUAGGGCACCUAGGAACCUCUAAACAAAUGCUGAUCAGGUAAUGAGUGGAACAAGUCAUUUAUUUUUUAGUGGUUCAGCUAUCUAUUCAGUGAUUGGGUCACAGUUUCCCAAACAUAUACGGUGACUGUUCAUUAAUUAUUCACUUCGCGCUCAGUAAUUGUCCAAUUUAACUACAAACUGUGAGCUUAUACGCAAAGCCACAGAAGACAGUAGAGGGAAAAAGUAACCAUCUAGAUAAAAGUAUAUUUUCUUUUUGUAAUAACACUUGCUAAUUCAAGGACUCAGAGGGAGAGGAGCUAUUGUUAGACUUUGGCCUUGGUCUUGUCUAUAUGCGUGGACUAAAUUGCUCACCAUUUGUUAAGCAGGGACAUUUAAGCUCCAGAGUGCCAAGCUUUGCAAAUGAGGCUGUGCAAGUUGGCCUUCAGCCUGUCUUUGUAGGUAGAGCCUCACCUUUGAGUCAGCAAGCAGUGCGGCGUAAGUCGUGCAGAUCAGCUUCAGCAUGCUAUCAACCGAAUCACAUGCUUUUCUCCAGGUGCCUCAUCUUGGAAAAUGUUCUGAAUUAAUCUGAAAGGUUCAUUUGCAGGGUUUUUCUCCAUUGAUAUUUCAGAGGUUUUUCUUUUAUCCAGAAGAUGAAAAUGUUUCCAUCUUAGUUCAUGUGGAGGUCAGCUCACAUCCAGGAAACUUUGGCUCCUUGGCUUCCCAGUGUAUCAUUAAAUUCCAUGUUCUGUUUUAUUUACUGAUGAUCUUCACUGGAAAUAAAACAAGUUUAUCAGCCCUCUUGUCUUGUUAGAAUCUUGGUAAUAGUAGGAUGUCAUUUUCGAGAAUGCAGAUGAGAAAUUAAAUCCCAAGAAAGAUAAUGUUACACAAUUCCUGCCCCUACCCCCCCCCCACCAGAAAUGAAGCAUGGUCUCAAGGGAAGAAUCAUCCGUUUGUUAUAGUUUUAAUGUUGCCUCCCUUGCCCUGGGUAUUUUGUGGGUGAAGAACUUCUAAGGAUAAGACCCUACAAAGCAGAGCAUGCUGUGAAUGAGCACCUGUGUUCUGGGCAGGUGUGAGGACAGGCCUGGGGGCUCCUGUGGUCUGGCGGGCUAAUGGUCGGCUCAGCAUUUUGUGUGAGUGGCAACUUGUCUUUCUGCAAAGAGAGUGUCUUCAUUCUUUGGGUCAUGACCAGGUACAAAGCAAGCAUCUAAGGCAGAACCCAGCAGAAGCAUCUACACUGCUCAUCUUUACUGAAUGAAUAAAGCCAGGGACUAGGUCAGGCCCACCUGCUGGCAGUCGGGUGACAAGCAUGUGUAAAGAAUUUCCAUCAUGUAUGAAAACAACAGCAAAUAGCCCUGUUGGGACAGAAUCUUCGUUGCCCAAACUUACUACCCAUGGGGAAGAAGAAGUUAAAGUUCGUCAUUGCUGGAAGAAUUUAUAGCAGCCUGGCUCUAUGUUUGCAAAAUUCUAUGUUUCUUUGAAUAGGUGUCAGGCCAUUUUACAGCUGAGUAAACUAAGGCAAGGAGCGGUGAAGGGCUUUGCCAUACUCACAGAAUAAUUCUGAGGCCUGGGAGAAGUGAGAAGCAAUGUUCCUGUCGUGGCUCAGUAGUUAAUGAAUCAGACUAGGAACCAUGAGGUUGCGGGUUCGAUCCCUGGCCUUGCUCAGUGGGUUAAGGAUCCAGCAUUCCCGUGAGCUGUGGUGUAGGUCACAGACAUGGCUUGGAUCCCGUGUUGUUGUGUCUCUGGCAUAGGCUGUUGGCCACAGCUCUGAUUAGACCCCUAGCCUGGGAACCUCCAUAUGCCAUGGGUGU